UUCGCCCUUAGAGUUUGAUCCUGGCUCAGGACGAACGCUGGCGGCGCGCCUAACACAUGCAAGUCGAACGGAGCUUAGAGAGCUUGCUUUUUAAGCUUAGUGGCGAACGGGUGAGUAACGCGUGAGUAACCUGCCCUAGAGUGGGGGACAACAGUUGGAAACGACUGCUAAUACCGCAUAAGCCCACGGCACCGCAUGGUACUGAGGGAAAAGGAUUUAUUCGCUUUAGGAUGGACUCGCGUCCAAUUAGCUAGUUGGUGAGGUAACGGCCCACCAAGGCGACGAUUGGUAGCCGGACUGAGAGGUUGAACGGCCACAUUGGGACUGAGACACGGCCCAGACUCCUACGGGAGGCAGCAGUGGGGGAUAUUGCACAAUGGGGGAAACCCUGAUGCAGCGACGCCGCGUGGAGGAAGAAGGUUUUCGGAUUGUAAACUCCUGUCGUUAGGGACGAUAAUGACGGUACCUAACAAGAAAGCACCGGCUAACUACGUGCCAGCAGCCGCGGUAAAACGUAGGGUGCAAGCGUUGUCCGGAAUUACUGGGUGUAAAGGGAGCGCAGGCGGGAAGGCAAGUUGGAAGUGAAAACCAUGGGCUCAACCCAUGAAUUGCUUUCAAAACUGUUUUUCUUGAGUAGUGCAGAGGUAGAUGGAAUUCCCGGUGUAGCGGUGGAAUGCGUAGAUAUCGGGAGGAACACCAGUGGCGAAGGCGGUCUACUGGGCACCAACUGACGCUGAGGCUCGAAAGCAUGGGUAGCAAACAGGAUUAGAUACCCUGGUAGUCCAUGCCGUAAACGAUGAUUACUAGGUGUUGGGGGAUUGACCCCCUCAGUGCCGCAGUUAACACAAUAAGUAAUCCACCUGGGGAGUACGACCGCAAGGUUGAAACUCAAAGGAAUUGACGGGGGCCCGCACAAGCAGCGGAGCAUGUGGCUUAAUUCGAAGCAACGCGAAGAACCUUACCAGGGCUUGACAUAUGGGUGAAGCGGGGGAGACCCCGUGGCCGAGAGGAGCCCAUACAGGUGGUGCAUGGCUGUCGUCAGCUCGUGUCGUGAGAUGUUGGGUUAAGUCCCGCAACGAGCGCAACCCCCGCCGCGUGUUGCCAUCGGGUGAUGCCGGGAACCCACGCGGGACCGCCGCCGUCAAGGCGGAGGAGGGCGGGGACGACGUCAAGUCAUCAUGCCCCUUAUGCCCUGGGCUGCACACGUGCUACAAUGGCCGGUACAGAGGGAUGCCACCCCGCGAGGGGGAGCGGAUCCCGGAAAGCCGGCCCCAGUUCGGAUUGGGGGCUGCAACCCGCCCCCAUGAAGUCGGAGUUGCUAGUAAUCGCGGAUCAGCAUGCCGCGGUGAAUGCGUUCCCGGGCCUUGCACACACCGCCCGUCA
This 1383-nucleotide ribosomal RNA is filed under the name uncultured bacterium. RNAcentral's name for it is "bacterial SSU rRNA". It matches the Rfam family "Bacterial small subunit ribosomal RNA". The record is from RNAcentral.